ACUGGUUUCAUCUAAUGGUAAGAUGAUAGUCUCCAAAACUAUUCAUUAAGGUUCGAGUCCUUAAGCCAGUG
Molecule: non-coding RNA, 71 nt
Organism: Chitinophaga pinensis DSM 2588
Lineage: Bacteria; Pseudomonadati; Bacteroidota; Chitinophagia; Chitinophagales; Chitinophagaceae
Source: Rfam